AGCCAAAAAGAGUAAUCAUCUACUUUCACAACUUAUAAUAAUAAUAAUGACAAAGAACUCAUCCAAAUUAUAUAUUUGGUGUGACCAAAAAACAUAAACAAGCUCUUAAAACUGUUUUUUGUUUUCAGAAAGAAACAUAUGGCAAAUAUUUCUACUUGCUCCCUUCUCGUUGCUGCUGUUUUUCUAGUUGGAAUGAUGAUCCCAUCAGAAAUAUUAGGACAAACAUGCUACCAAAUACACCCAGAAAUAUUGUGUGAUGAAGGCAAAGUUGAACCGGAAUGUUUACCUUUCUGCAAUAACAAAUUUGGACCCUCUGCUGGUGGCCAAUGCAUUGAGCAAAUUGGCUUUAAUGGCCCUUUUUGUGCAUGUGAAUAUCCUUGCUAAUCGAUCUCUUUACUUUCAAAUUUAUUAAUAAAGUGCAGUUACAAUAUGUAGUAGCUAGUUUUUGUUAUAAAUUAGAUGAUGUUAAGUUUUUCUUAUAUAAUCUUUAUGUAAAAGUGAAGUUACUAUAUAUGUAGUGAUCUAAUAAUGUAAAAUUUAUUAGCUA
Long non-coding RNA from Solanum tuberosum (potato), 547 nucleotides. RefSeq lists it as uncharacterized. Lineage: Eukaryota; Viridiplantae; Streptophyta; Magnoliopsida; Solanales; Solanaceae. The transcript is spliced from 2 exons. The record is from RefSeq and is a predicted model, not a curated record.